RNAcentral lists this ribosomal RNA (1426 nucleotides) under Lactiplantibacillus plantarum. RNAcentral's name for it is "bacterial SSU rRNA". It matches the Rfam family "Bacterial small subunit ribosomal RNA". The record is from RNAcentral. Lineage: Bacteria; Bacillati; Bacillota; Bacilli; Lactobacillales; Lactobacillaceae.
UGCAAGUCGAACGAACUCUGGUAUUGAUUGGUGCUUGCAUCAUGAUUUACAUUUGAGUGAGUGGCGAACUGGUGAGUAACACGUGGGAAACCUGCCCAGAAGCGGGGGAUAACACCUGGAAACAGAUGCUAAUACCGCAUAACAACUUGGACCGCAUGGUCCGAGUUUGAAAGAUGGCUUCGGCUAUCACUUUUGGAUGGUCCCGCGGCGUAUUAGCUAGAUGGUGGGGUAACGGCUCACCAUGGCAAUGAUACGUAGCCGACCUGAGAGGGUAAUCGGCCACAUUGGGACUGAGACACGGCCCAAACUCCUACGGGAGGCAGCAGUAGGGAAUCUUCCACAAUGGACGAAAGUCUGAUGGAGCAACGCCGCGUGAGUGAAGAAGGGUUUCGGCUCGUAAAACUCUGUUGUUAAAGAAGAACAUAUCUGAGAGUAACUGUUCAGGUAUUGACGGUAUUUAACCAGAAAGCCACGGCUAACUACGUGCCAGCAGCCGCGGUAAUACGUAGGUGGCAAGCGUUGUCCGGAUUUAUUGGGCGUAAAGCGAGCGCAGGCGGUUUUUUAAGUCUGAUGUGAAAGCCUUCGGCUCAACCGAAGAAGUGCAUCGGAAACUGGGAAACUUGAGUGCAGAAGAGGACAGUGGAACUCCAUGUGUAGCGGUGAAAUGCGUAGAUAUAUGGAAGAACACCAGUGGCGAAGGCGGCUGUCUGGUCUGUAACUGACGCUGAGGCUCGAAAGUAUGGGUAGCAAACAGGAUUAGAUACCCUGGUAGUCCAUACCGUAAACGAUGAAUGCUAAGUGUUGGAGGGUUUCCGCCCUUCAGUGCUGCAGCUAACGCAUUAAGCAUUCCGCCUGGGGAGUACGGCCGCAAGGCUGAAACUCAAAGGAAUUGACGGGGGCCCGCACAAGCGGUGGAGCAUGUGGUUUAAUUCGAAGCUACGCGAAGAACCUUACCAGGUCUUGACAUACUAUGCAAAUCUAAGAGAUUAGACGUUCCCUUCGGGGACAUGGAUACAGGUGGUGCAUGGUUGUCGUCAGCUCGUGUCGUGAGAUGUUGGGUUAAGUCCCGCAACGAGCGCAACCCUUAUUAUCAGUUGCCAGCAUUAAGUUGGGCACUCUGGUGAGACUGCCGGUGACAAACCGGAGGAAGGUGGGGAUGACGUCAAAUCAUCAUGCCCCUUAUGACCUGGGCUACACACGUGCUACAAUGGAUGGUACAACGAGUUGCGAACUCGCGAGAGUAAGCUAAUCUCUUAAAGCCAUUCUCAGUUCGGAUUGUAGGCUGCAACUCGCCUACAUGAAGUCGGAAUCGCUAGUAAUCGCGGAUCAGCAUGCCGCGGUGAAUACGUUCCCGGGCCUUGUACACACCGCCCGUCACACCAUGAGAGUUUGUAACACCCAAAGUCGGUGGGGUAACCUUUUAGGA